Molecule: ribosomal RNA, 514 nt
Filed under: uncultured bacterium
Lineage: Bacteria
Description: partial 16S ribosomal RNA
Rfam family: Bacterial small subunit ribosomal RNA
Source: RNAcentral
UGGGGAAUUUUGGACAAUGGGCGCAAGCCUGAUCCAGCAAUGCCGCGUGCAGGAUGAAGGCCUUCGGGUUGUAAACUGCUUUUGUACGGAACGAAAAGCCUCUCUCUAAUACAGGGGGGUGAUGACGGUACCGUAAGAAUAAGCACCGGCUAACUACGUGCCAGCAGCCGCGGUAAUACGUAGGGUGCAAGCGUUAAUCGGAAUUACUGGGCGUAAAGCGUGCGCAGGCGGUUUUGUAAGACAGUGGUGGAAUCCCGGGCUCAACCUGGGAACUGCCAUUGUGACUGCAAGGCUGGAGUGCGGCAGAGGGGGAUGGAAUUCCGCGUGUAGCAGUGAAAUGCGUAGAUAUGCGGAGGAACACCGAUGGCGAAGGCAAUCCCCUGGGCCUGCACUGACGCUCAUGCACGAAAGCGUGGGGAGCAAACAGGAUUAGAUACCCUGGUAGUCCACGCCCUAAACGAUGUCAACUGGUUGUUGGGGAUUUAUUUCUUCAGUAACGAAGCUAACGCGUGAA